UACGGGGGGGGCGAGCGUUGUUCGGAAUUACUGGGCGUAAAGGGUUUGUAGGUGGCCAACUAAGUCAGACGUGAAAUCCCUCAGCUUAACUGGGGAACUGCGUCUGAUACUGGUUGGCUUGAGUGCAGGAGAGGAACGCGGAAUUCCAGGUGUAGCGGUGAAAUGCGUAGAUAUCUGGAGGAACACCGGUGGCGAAGGCGGCGUUCUGGACUGUAACUGACACUGAGAAACGAAAGCCAGGGUAGCAAACGGG
RNAcentral lists this ribosomal RNA (253 nucleotides) under uncultured Acidobacteriota bacterium. RNAcentral's name for it is "uncultured Acidobacteria bacterium partial 16S ribosomal RNA". It matches the Rfam family "Bacterial small subunit ribosomal RNA", at positions 524 to 776 of the family's 1533-position model. The record is from RNAcentral. Lineage: Bacteria; Pseudomonadati; Acidobacteriota.